RNAcentral lists this ribosomal RNA (377 nucleotides) under uncultured bacterium. RNAcentral's name for it is "bacterial SSU rRNA". It matches the Rfam family "Bacterial small subunit ribosomal RNA", at positions 28 to 407 of the family's 1533-position model. The record is from RNAcentral.
GACGAACGCUGGCGGCGUGCUUAACACAUGCAAGUCGAGCGGUAAGGCCCUUUCGGGGGUACACGAGCGGCGAACGGGUGAGUAACACGUGGGUGACCUGCCCUUAGCUCUGGGAUAAGCCUGGGAAACUGGGUCUAAUACCGGAUGUGACUCCAUAACGCAUGUUGUGGGGUGGAAAGCCUUGUGCGGCUAGGGAUGGGCCCGCGGCCUAUCAGCUUGUUGGUGGGGUGAUGGCCACCAAGGCGACGACGGGUAGCCGGCCUGAGAGGGCGACCGGCCACACUGGGACUGAGACACGGCCCAGACUCCUACGGGAGGCAGCAGUGGGGAAUCUUGCGCAAUGGGCGAAAGCCUGACGCAGCGACGCCGCGUGGGGA